AACGAACGCUGGCGGCAGGCCUAACACAUGCAAGUCGAACGAGUAAGAGCCGUAGCAAUACGGAGUUCUGCUAGUGGCGCACGGGUGAGUAACGCGUGGGAACGUGUCUUGGAGUUCGGGAUAACAGUUGGAAACGACUGCUAAUACCGAAUAUUCCCUCAGGGGGAAAGAUUUAUCGCUCCAAGAUCGGCCCGCGUAAGAUUAGGUAGUUGGUGGGGUAAUGGCCUACCAAGCCUACGAUCUUUAGCUGGUCUGAGAGGACGACCAGCCACACUGGAACUGAGACACGGUCCAGACUCCUACGGGAGGCAGCAGUGGGGAAUAUUGGACAAUGGGCGAAAGCCUGAUCCAGCCAUGCCGCGUGAAUGAUGAAGGCCUUAGGGUUGUAAAAUCUUUUGCAGGGGAAGAUAAUGACGGUACCUGCGAAUAAGCUCCGGCUAACUUCGUGCCAGCAGCCGCGGUAAU
Molecule: ribosomal RNA, 465 nt
Filed under: uncultured bacterium
Lineage: Bacteria
Description: bacterial SSU rRNA
Rfam family: Bacterial small subunit ribosomal RNA
Source: RNAcentral